AUUGAACGCUGGCGGCAGGCCUAACACAUGCAAGUCGAGCGGAUGAAGGGAGCUUGCUCCUGGAUUCAGCGGCGGACGGGUGAGUAAUGCCUAGGAAUCUGCCUGGUAGUGGGGGAUAACGUCCGGAAACGGGCGCUAAUACCGCAUACGUCCUGAGGGAGAAAGUGGGGGAUCUUCGGACCUCACGCUAUCAGAUGAGCCUAGGUCGGAUUAGCUAGUUGGUGGGGUAAAGGCCUACCAAGGCGACGAUCCGUAACUGGUCUGAGAGGAUGAUCAGUCGCACUGGAGCUGAGACACGGUCCAGACUCCUACGGGAGGCAGCAGUGGGGAAUAUUGGACAAUGGGCGAAAGCCUGAUCCAGCCAUGCCGCGUGUGUGAAGAAGGUCUUCGGAUUGUAAAGCACUUUAAGUUGGGAGGAAGGGCAGUAAGUUAAUACCUUGCUGUUUUGACGUUACCAACAGAAUAAGCACCGGCUAACUUCGUG
This 484-nucleotide ribosomal RNA is filed under the name uncultured bacterium. RNAcentral describes it as "partial 16S ribosomal RNA". It matches the Rfam family "Bacterial small subunit ribosomal RNA", at positions 30 to 507 of the family's 1533-position model. The record is from RNAcentral.